Molecule: long non-coding RNA, 4642 nt
Organism: Mirounga angustirostris (Northern elephant seal)
Lineage: Eukaryota; Metazoa; Chordata; Mammalia; Carnivora; Phocidae
Exons: 4
Source: RefSeq, a predicted model, not a curated record
CCUUCACCUCAGCCUGAGCUAUCACCUGCCACCCCAAAGCCUCUGGCAACACCGUCCUGACCCCAAAACGCCCGCUAAAAUUACUACCCUUCUUUCUCCUAGGUCACACCCAGUGGUUUCCUCUUAGCCCCGCCCCCUCGGCACAGCCUUCGCAGCAGGCCCCGCCCCCGCUUCGCAAAGGACACGCCCCGGAAGCCCCGCCCCCUAACCAGCCUCCGCUUCCUCAAAUCCCACCCGGUGUUUUCCAGCAGCUCCUCCAGCUAGGAGUCUCUUUUGCUUCCAGGCCUUUCCGGAAGAGACCUCUUGAUUGGCUGAGCUUCUCCAUCUACCUGCGGCCGUAGGAGGGCGGGCACCGGCUCCAAGGAGAUGAGCACGAAGUCCUCUGGGCGGGGCGCGAGGCCCGACACCCUGCAGGGUGUUGUGCUCAGGGCGACUGGGAAAGGGAGAACCCACAAACUGGUGUGAUGCCCAGGCGGCCCGGCUCCAACAUAACGGCUCGAUGCCCAACAUGGGGCCUGAACUCGAUGACCCAGAGAUCAAGAGUCAUACGCUCCACCGACUGAGCCCCAAGAGCAUGAGAGAUAGGGAGAGCCGGAACACAAGUAGGGGGAGUGGAAGAGGGAGAAGCAGGCUUCCUGCCGAGAAGAGAGCCCGACUGGGGCUCGAUCCCAGGACCCUGGGAUCAUGACCUGAGCCGAAGGCAGAUGCCCAACGACUGAGCCACCCAGCUGCCGCCUGAAUAAAUCUUUUGAAGGUACCUAGGCAACCAGCAGAGGAAGGGGUAUGAGUUGGGAGUCAGUGAUACCUGCCUCUUCCCUGACCCGGGCAAUGUGUUGACAGGAUUAUCACAGGGGUAACUCAGUGCCCUUCACCCCUACUUGCCCCAUCACCCACAGUACUAAGUAUCUUCACUUUGUUCUGCAGCCAAGCCCUCCAAUGAGACCUAACCAGAAUUAGGGACAUUCAUCAAACUUUCAUCCUUGUACUUGAGCCGUGUGGGCAAUACUGGACUCAGCUUGAGAUCCCAUCUUUUCUUUUCUUUCUUUUUUUUUUUUUUUUAAAGAUUUUAUUUAUUUAUUUGACAGAGAGAGGCACAGUGAGAGAGGGAACACAAGCAGGGGGAGUGGGAGAAGGAGAAGUAGGCUUCCCGCCGAGCAGGGAGCCUGAUGUGGGGCUCGAUCCCAGGACCCUGAGAUCAUGACCUGAGCCGAAGGCAGAUGCUUAACGACUGAGCCACCCAGGCACCCCGAGAUCCCAUCUUUUCAAGAUAUCUUCCAAGCCACACAGUAUUGCAUAGAAAUUAAAAUUAAUGUAAGCAACAUUUCAUUUUUUGAAAAAUAACUAUAUUUUCAAAACAAAAAAAAUAUAGUGAUAAUUAGUGGCAUUGUUUUAUAUUUUCCCAAAUUCCUUUAAUGUCUGGCUUAAUAGAAGACAGAUGGAUUCUCACAUCUGCUUCUUUUUUCAAGCUAUUAUGAGAUGUUGUCUUGCUUGUGUGAAGAAAAUGCCUCACACAGGUAUGAGUUCAUGGAAUUUCAUUGGCUAUGGUGAGGUCUUUGUAUUUUAUUCUUAGUGUGAUGGGAAGCCAUUGAUGGGUUUUAAGCAGAGGAAUGUUCUGAUAUGAUUCUACUUCUUAGAGGCUUAUCCUGCCUACUCAGUGGAGAAGGGACCACAGGGGAUCAAAGUGGGAGCAGGGAGGAGGGUGUGGGUAUGGUCCCAUAGGAGAUGAUGGUGCCUUGACAAAGGUAGUGGUGGAUGUAGCUGGAGAGAAAUGCUGGGUCAACAGAAUUUUGCUAAAACGAGGGUAGGAAAUUAGGGACAAGAAAAAAAAAGAGUCAAAGCUGGCCCAAAUUUUUGCAUGAGCAGUGGUGUGGCUGAUAGAACCAUUUUCCUAGAGGGGGCAAUGGGAAAUCGAGAGUUCUGCUUCUGACCUUUAAGUAGAGCUUCCUCUUAGCCAGUUAGACUUGUGAGCCUGAAGAUCAAGAGGAAUGUUGGGGUUGGAGAUACAUGUUGGGAAUAUCAUCAGCAUAUAGAUGGUAUAUUUAAAACCAAGGGACUAGAGAGAUUACCCCCUGUACAGUAGAGGGCUGCUGGAGUGGUAACAUAGGCUGUUUAGGAAGGUGAAGCAAUCCUGUUUCUGCAGGUUCAGAAGAGAUCGGAAUGAAGGUGAGUCAGAGUUUGGGCACAGAGACUGAAUGCAUGCCACACUUCAGAAUUGCCAUGCCUACUGGACCUAGAUUAAAAAAAAUUUUUUUUUUAAAGAUUUUAUUUAUUUAUUUGACAGAGAGAGACACAGUGAGGGAGGGAAUACAAGCAGGGGGAGUGGGUGAGGGAGAAGCAGGCUUCCGGCUGAGCAGGGAGCCCGAUAUGGGGCUUGAUCCCAGCAUCCUGGGAUCAUGACCUGAGCUGAAGGCAGAUGCUUAACGACUGAGCCACCCAGGUGCCCCCCAAUUUUUUUUUUUUAAGUAACUCUAUGCCCAACGUGGUAAGGCUUAAACUCAUGACCUUGAGAUCAAGAGUCACAUGCUCUACUGACUGAGCCAGCCAGACACCCCUGAAAUUUCUUGUUUUAGCUUUAAAUUUCCCACAUUGGGUGUAGAAGUUACUUAAAAAUAAAAUCUUAGUAAAUAAAUAAAUUAAUAAAUACCAAAAGAAAUUUCAUACUCAUAGUAGCAACUUUCCCCCCAAAAAAAGCUUGAAAAGCUUUGCUUCUGUGUCUGUGUAUUAAUAGAAGUCAGAUAAACAUCUACCAUUUUUUUAGCAUUUGUCAAGUGCUAACAGUGUGCUAAAGAUAUAAUCUCUAAUUCCGUAAUAGCCUUUCUUCUUUCUUAGACAGAAAUGACACCUUCAGCUUCAUUAAGUAACUUGGCCAAGGUCACACAGCUAAUAAAAGGCAGAGCUGAGAUUGAAUUUAAGUCUAUCUUCAAAACCAUACCCCUAACCAUUCUGUAGAUUUAUCUUCCUAGAGUGUCGGCAGGUGGUUUUCAAGGUUGUUGUUGUACCAAUGGCCAGAGGAUUUAGACUUGGUUAUCCUACUGUUGGAAGAACUGGAGGCACAGAGGGAGGAGCCCAGAACCCGGAAGAGGGGCAGCUGAGAUGGAUGAUUUUGCUCAGAGAUUGCCCUCCAGCAGGAUCAGCUGCUUCUGUUUGUCUUUAGGAAACAGAUGACAGACAUCACAAGGGCUCCUCUCUAAAAAGAGAUAGCAAAAAUUAACUGAAUCCUCCAAUGGACUUUCUCUGUAUGCCAAAUCUUAGUACAGCUGAUUGGUAGCCAUUGCUGUUUUCUCUUCUAUCUUAGCUGGUCUCUCUCUGAUCCUGAAACUUUGGAAGCAAGGGGAUCAGGGCUUGGGGAAAAUUUGUCAUGGCCAACCGAUGCCUGGGGAGCUCAGAGACAGAUCAGGUUCAGCCAGUCUUUGCUGACAAAAUCCAAAGGCAGAGAAACAAAUGGUCGUGAAACAAGAAAGGAGUUUAUUUCAGGGAAGCCAACACUGGGGAAGACAGUGGAUUAGCGUCUCAAAGGCUGUCUCCAAAGUGCUGAUACUCCCAUGUUCAUAUAAGGAAAAUGCAGGGCAAAGGUAGGUGGGUACGCGCAGGUAGGCGAGAAGGUCAAAUGGAUAACUGUCUUGCAGGCAAUCAUCAGUGGGGUUUUGCUGGCUCAGGACGGUCCUUAUUGCUUGAGGGGAUAGUUUGGUUUCCAUCAAGGGAUGCUUUGCCCUCAGGGUCUUCUGCAUGAGCCAAGAGACAAGCUGUAAUGAAGAACCCAACUAGAAAGUUUGAGGUCAAAAUGGAGGCAGCCAAAGCCCUCUUUUACCCUGGGAAGCCACUGGGUUCCAAAAAGGAGAGACAUAAUUAGACUUGAGUUUUGAAUACAUCACUCUUGGCAAAUAAGCACAUAAAAAGAUGUUCAAUGGGCGCCUGGGUGGCUCAGUUGGUUAAGUGACUGCCUUCGGCUUGGGUCAUGAUCCCAGGGUCUUGGGAUCGAGUCCCACAUCGGGCUCCCGGCUCGGCGGAGAGCCUGCUUCUCCCUCUGACCCUAUCCCCUCUCAUGCUGUUUCUCUCUCUCUCUCUCUCAAAUAAAUAAAUAAAUAAAAUCUUUAAAAAAAAAAAAAAAAGAUGUUCAACAUCAUUAGUCAUUAGGGAAGUGAAAAUUAAAACCACAAUGAGAUACUACUACACAUAUACUAGAAUAGCUAAAUAAACAAACCCUGCUGACAAUACAAAGUGCUGGUGAGGAUAUUAGAACAACUGGAAUUCUUAUCCCUGCAUAUGCAAUUAUAAUAUUUUACCAUACCACACAGGCACAAUAGGUGUAAAUGAACUCAAGAGCAUCGAUAAUAGUAAACUGUGGUAAAAUGACUAGGAAGAGAUGAGGGUAUCUUCUAGGAUUUUAUUUUACUCUUUUAAGAAAUCUCUCUACCCAACAUGGGGCUUGAACUCACAACCCCAAGAUCAAGAAUCAUAUGCUCUACCACCUGAACCAGCCAGGCACCCCAGGAAGUGAUGAGUAAUAAGUAUUUAUUAAUAAUUCUGACUCUAGGGGUGCCUGGGUGGCUCAGUCGGUUGGGCGUCUACCUUUGGGGCCCCGCGUCAGGCUCCCUGCUCCGCAAGAAGCCUGCUUCUCCCUCUCCCACUCCCCCUGCUUGUG